This is an RNA transcript of Crotalus tigris (Tiger rattlesnake), 4113 nucleotides long. It is a transcript of the gene named VPS26, retromer complex component B, with no coding region annotated. The record is from RefSeq and is a predicted model, not a curated record. The transcript has 7 exons. NCBI's taxonomy places the organism in Eukaryota, Metazoa, Chordata, Lepidosauria, Squamata, Viperidae.
UUCCCGGCCGUAAAAAGCUCCCUGUCCCCGGCAGCCUCAGCCCGCAUCCCCCCUUGGCUCGGGCAUCCCCACCUCUCCACCCUGGCUUGAGCUGCGCUGCGGUCCAGCAAAGCCAGGUUGGCCUCUGGGCGGGGCCCCGGCUGAGCAUCUUCGCAGCCUUGGGCAGGGGGGCGAGGGGGGUGUGUGUGUGCAAGGCUUUCCCUGGCUUGGGGAGUAGGGGGAGCCUGUUGGAGCUCUUGGAGGCGGUGCCCUCGCCCUCCACCCCGGUCCGGAGAUGAGCUUCUUUGGGUUCGGACAGAGCGCCGAAUUGGAACUGGUCCUGAGCGAUGCCGAGAGCCGGCGCCGGGCGGAACAUAAGACGGAGGAGGGCAAGAAGGAGAAAUACUUCCUUUUUUAUGACGGCGAAACCGUGUCCGGGAGGGUCAUCUUAACCCUCAAGCAGCCCAACAAACGCCUGGAACACCAGGGCAUCAAGGUGGAAUUCAUUGGCCAGAUUGAAUUAUACUACGAUCGAGGGAACCAUCAUGAAUUUGUGUCUCUGGUGAAAGAUUUGGCCCGUCCUGGCGAAUUCACCCAAUCCCAAACUUUUGACUUUGAAUUCACUCAUGUGGAGAAACCGUACGAAUCCUACACUGGGCAGAACGUGAAGCUCAGGUACUUCCUCCGGGCCACCGUGAGCCGCAGAUUAAAUGACGUGGUGAAAGAGAUGGACAUUGUAGUGCACACGCUUAGCACGUAUCCGGAGCUCAACUCCUCCAUUAAGAUGGAGGUGGGGAUUGAAGAUUGCCUGCACAUUGAGUUUGAGUACAAUAAAUCCAAGUACCACUUAAAAGAUGUGAUUGUAGGGAAAAUCUACUUCCUCCUUGUCCGGAUCAAGAUCAAACACAUGGAGAUUGACAUCAUCAAGAGGGAAACCACUGGAACAGGGCCCAACGUCUACCAUGAAAACGACACCAUUGCGAAAUACGAGAUUAUGGACGGGGCUCCUGUGAGAGGAGAGUCCAUCCCGAUUCGGCUCUUCCUGGCUGGCUAUGAACUGACGCCUACCAUGAGGGACAUCAAUAAGAAGUUCUCGGUGCGCUAUUACCUCAAUCUGGUGCUAAUUGAUGAGGAGGAACGACGUUAUUUUAAACAGCAGGAGGUGGUGUUGUGGCGCAAAGGGGACAUUGUGAGGAAAAGCAUGUCCCACCAGGCCGCCAUCGCUGCGCAGCGCUUCGAAGGCACAUCGUCCCAGACGGAGAGCAGGACCCCCAGCCAGGCUUCGGAGAACAACGGGCGGCAGUGAAGGCCCUCAAAGGAGCACCGAGAGCGCCUCUUCCACCAGAAACUUGCAAACGCAAAAUUAUCUGUCAGGUUGUCUUUCUGUCUGUGUGUGUUUCGUCUUUUACCUUGAGGACUAGCAGCUUAACAGGACGGGGAAGGGGGUUGGCGCACAUAAAUGGAGUAUGGCUGUUUCUCUCUACAUUCAGUAUUUAUGGAUAAGCUUAAAGGGGCAGGACAGAUGGGGUUUUUGGAUGUUGUAUUGGAAGAGGACUGUGGAAAAAUAUUUUUUUUAAGAGAGUCCCGUUUUCUCUCUAUUGGAAGCUGUGUGCUCCAGCGUGACUGCUGUCAGAGGAGUUCAACCAUAUAUUUAGCAAUCAUCUGUGAAUAUACCAUGGGUCAAAUGCUCCCCAGACUUUGGAUGACUUAGACGCACGAGCAGCCACAGGGAGUGUAUGUGUGUGUACAAAGCAGCUCCCGUUCUUAUGUUGUUACCCAAAUGAAGCAGGUUACUUAAUUCCUGGCCUUUGCACAUUGGGGUCAUGUUGUGCAUGACGUUAUCACAGCUUGUACCAGAUGCCGAGAAAUUUCUUUGUAUUUUAUUUUCUGGAAGAGGCUGAGCAUACUUUGCUCCUAAAGAUUUUAUCUUUAAAAGUUUUAUCCCUUGAAAAGAAGGCCCUGCCUUUGGAAAGGAUAGCCCUGUGUUCCUGCAUGAGUCUGUGUUCUGAAAGCACCUUCUAAAUGAGAAAAACAAUUUGAGGAUUGAGCAUCGUGAUGGACAAACCACUACACCUGAAAAGAAAGCGACGGAAACGCCUGAAUCAUUUUGGGAGACAGUGGAGAACCUCCUUGUUGAUCCUGACACAUACUUGGCAAACAUCUAUCUUAAAUUUUUUCAAGUUUGUAAGCAGUCUUGGGUGAAAACACUUCUUUCCAACAGCUUCCCCUAGGCCAGAGGUUGCCUACCCCUGCCCUAGGCUGAUCUUUGCAGAGAGAGGGAGCAAAGCAGGAAAUCCAAACAUUUUUGCUUAAAUUGUGAAGUUGAUUAAAACGCACGCUCCUUGCUUCUGUCAAAGUUGUCCUUUUAAGCCAGAGAUGGGGAACGAUGACCCCCUUUAUGACUUGUGGACUUCAACUCCCAGAAUUCCUGAGUCAGCACGGCUAGCUCAGGAAUUCUGGGAGUUGAAGUCCACAAGUCAUAAAAGGGCCAUCGUUCCCCACCUGUUUUAAGCUCUGUCAAAUUUACUUCCUUUCUCCCGAUUCUUCCAAGAAUGCGGUUGCUCCUCAUUCUUGGGAUUCGUAAAGUCUGUGCUCGAAAUGGAAGGAUCACUUACCCUCAUCUCAGGAGUUUCUCUGUUGCUUCUCUGCCUGAUAUACUCUGCCGAAUUUGUUUCCUGCUUGGACGGUGUGGCUCCGCUGGGACCAUCCAGCUGGUCUUGUCAGAAAACCUGAUUUUGGAGGAAAAUAGCCAAAAGAGUGGAUCAUGGACUCAAUUGACUUCUGUGAGCAAUGGGCCACCAGCCACCUAACUUAGCAAUGUUGCCAGACUGGUGAUUGUUCUCCUUCAUGUCUGGCCCCAAGACUUUUACAUUGCUUUCUAAGUUCAUUAGAAAGAUGGAAAUUCAAUGGCCUGCAAGAGAGAUCUUCCACUGUUCCAUGCAGAGAAAGCAAUUUUUCAACUUUACCUGAAGAUGUCAGCAUAUGGAAUGAACUGAGUGCCUCUUAGUAUAGUGCAAGCUGAAUUUUCUUGGUUUUUUUUCCUUUUCAAAAGGAAUUAAUCAUAACAGAAGAGAAUAACAGAGUUGGAAGGGAACCUCAGAGGUCUUCUAGUCCAACCCCCUGCUGCAGCAGGAAAUCCUAUGCCAUUUCAGACAAAUUAAGGUCAGUUGCGGCCAGUCUUGUCUGAUUCUUAUUCCCUGCCUCCAUUUUGUGAUUAGUAAGGCACUUUCUGGCCUGAAGGUGGAUUGAAAAUCAUGGAUUGCAGUUUGCAAAUAUUCUCAAAGUGUGUGAAAUCAAUCCAUGUUCCCUCCUGUUUCUGUCUCAUUUAGCAGCAUGGUCAGUACUGUCUUGGUCCAUUUGUGGCCUUCAGCACUUUUAGGAUUCCCCUCAUAUUUUAUUUUAUUUUUUAUUUUACAUUAUGCGUGCUCUUAAAUCGGGGUGGAUUGUGUGGAGACUUUGUGGCUUCAAUUCAGCAACAAAGGUGCGGGUUUUUCCACCAAUUUGGGGAAAGAAAACAAAUGAACUGCGUUAAGGCUGCUGAUAAACUGACUUCAACUUAGUUGCCUUUUGUUGUUAAAGUAUUUGUGUCUAAGGUGGUUGCCUGAUCCUGCCAUACGGGAUGAGAAUUAGAAUUGUGAAAUUCUUCCUCUAGAAAAGAAAUUACACUUCUACUUGCUAUACUAUUUAUAAACUACUUGUAGUAUACGAUCUAAAUAUACAUUGAAUAAAUAACCGAAAGGUAAGUAGCUAAUUGUUUUAAGAAUUCUGGACCAAUCUUACUCCUCAUCACUUUUCACAGAAGUGUCUACGAAAACAUGGAACGAUACAACAGUCUCACUUUUUGCUUUGCAAUAAAGUCAGGUUUCUAGUCGUCAUGGAUGUCAGCAUCUAAAAUUUGUCGGUCGUACCCUGUUCAGAUUUUCAGAAGUAGCAAUUUGAGCAUGGAAAAUUUCCAGGGGUAUGUAAGUGAGUUUUUUCCCCUCUUGGCCAGAAACAUGAGAAACUGGGUGUUUGAGGACCAAUGUUGGAAAGUAACUCAAGCUUUCUGCAGCUGGACUCUUCUGAAUAAAGGACACUAUUUUGAACUCGGAACAUUUUCAGAAUGAUUGAAGCCUCCCAUUUUUAUAUUCAAAA